Molecule: long non-coding RNA, 442 nt
Organism: Bombyx mori (domestic silkworm)
Lineage: Eukaryota; Metazoa; Arthropoda; Insecta; Lepidoptera; Bombycidae
Exons: 2
Source: RefSeq, a predicted model, not a curated record
UAGAUUUCUGAAAUGUCACUGUCAAAAUUAUCUGUCAAACUUUCAUCACAACACUCGUGUGUAAUGCCAAAUUAAAAUUUAAUAUUAUCCGCUUCACCUCACGAGACGCCCCGAAAAACGCGAUGACGAUGUAAUUUUGAGUUAACAUUCUACUAUGUUAUGUCCAUUUGGCUGUAUUUGUUUCCCAUUGCGGUGGCUGUGGUCAUGUUCCUCUUAAUCGGCACCAUAUGUGAAAGGAGGAUAGAAGCUACCUUUCAUCAUAUCAUGGAACUUCGUCAAGCACAAAUACAGAGGAAUGAAGAAAAUGUUGAAAACGUUCACGCCAUCUCGGCCUGUACUGGAACUUGCCAACCGAUCACUCCGCAACGUACGAACAACACAAAAACAAACGCUACAUAAAAAAUACACGAAUAAUAAUAAAUACAUAAAUUCUUCAAUGUAA